AGAUCAUUUCAAAGAAGGCUUCUAAGGCCAUGAAACUAAGAGCUUAAUGCUGUUGUAACCAAAGGUUAAAGGAUGACAUUUACUACACAGCCCUCUAUUUUCCUGAAGGGAGAUAAUG
RNAcentral lists this small nucleolar RNA (118 nucleotides) under Mesocricetus auratus (golden hamster). RNAcentral describes it as "Small nucleolar RNA SNORA25 (ENSMAUG00000005818.1)". Lineage: Eukaryota; Metazoa; Chordata; Mammalia; Rodentia; Cricetidae. The record is from RNAcentral.